This 343-nucleotide ribosomal RNA is filed under the name uncultured Pelotomaculum sp. RNAcentral's name for it is "bacterial SSU rRNA". It matches the Rfam family "Bacterial small subunit ribosomal RNA", at positions 1039 to 1382 of the family's 1533-position model. Lineage: Bacteria; Bacillati; Bacillota; Clostridia; Eubacteriales; Desulfotomaculaceae. The record is from RNAcentral.
UGGUGCAUGGUUGUCGUCAGCUCGUGUCGUGAGAUGUUGGGUUAAGUCCCGCAACGAGCGCAACCCUACGUUUAGUUUGCCAUCGGGUGGAGCCGGGCACGUCUGGACGAACUGCCGUUGACAAACGGAGGAAGUGGGAUGACGUCAAAUCAUCAUGCCCCUUAUGUCCUGGGCCACACACGUGCUACAAUGGCCGGUACAGAGGGAAGCGAAGCCGUGAGGCGGAGCAAAUCCCAAAAAGACCGGUCUCAGUUCGGAUUGCAGGCUGCAACCCGCCUGCAUGAAGUCGGAAUCGCUAGUAAUCGCAGGUCAGCAUACUGCGGUGAAUACGUUCCCGGGCCUU